Molecule: ribosomal RNA, 256 nt
Filed under: uncultured bacterium
Lineage: Bacteria
Description: partial 16S ribosomal RNA
Rfam family: Bacterial small subunit ribosomal RNA
Source: RNAcentral
UACGUAGGCAGCAAGCGUUGUUCGGAGUUACUGGGCGUAAAGGGUGUGUAGGCGGUUGCUUAAGUUUGGUGUGAAAUCUCCCGGCUCAACUGGGAGGGUGCGCCGAAUACUGAGUGACUUCGAGUGCGGGAGAGGAAAGUGGAAUUCCUGGUGUAGCGGUGAAAUGCGUAGAUAUCAGGAGGAACACCGGUGGUGUAGACGGCUUUCUGGACCGUAACUGACGCUGGAGACACGGAAAGCGUGGGUAGCAAACAGG